Molecule: ribosomal RNA, 496 nt
Filed under: uncultured bacterium
Lineage: Bacteria
Description: partial 16S ribosomal RNA
Rfam family: Bacterial small subunit ribosomal RNA
Source: RNAcentral
AUGAACGCUGGCGGCGUGCCUAAUACAUGCAAGUCGAGCGAACAGAUGAGGAGCUUGCUCCUCUGACGUUAGCGGCGGACGGGUGAGUAACACGUGGAUAACCUACCUAUAAGACUGGGAUAACUUCGGGAAACCGGAGCUAAUACCGGAUAAUAUAUUGAACCGCAUGGUUCAAUAGUGAAAGACGGUUUUGCUGUCACUUAUAGAUGGAUCCGCGCCGCAUUAGCUAGUUGGUAAGGUAACGGCUUACCAAGGCAACGAUGCGUAGCCGACCUGAGAGGGUGAUCGGCCACACUGGAACUGAGACACGGUCCAGACUCCUACGGGAGGCAGCAGUAGGGAAUCUUCCGCAAUGGGCGAAAGCCUGACGGAGCAACGCCGCGUGAGUGAUGAAGGUCUUCGGAUCGUAAAACUCUGUUAUUAGGGAAGAACAAAUGUGUAAGUAACUAUGCACGUCUUGACGGUACCUAAUCAGGAAGCCACGGCUAACUACGUG